RNAcentral lists this transfer RNA (65 nucleotides) under Dipodomys ordii (Ord's kangaroo rat). It matches the Rfam family "tRNA". From Rfam's summary of the family: Transfer RNA (tRNA) molecules are approximately 80 nucleotides in length. Their secondary structure includes four short double-helical elements and three loops (D, anti-codon, and T loops). Lineage: Eukaryota; Metazoa; Chordata; Mammalia; Rodentia; Heteromyidae. The record is from Rfam by way of RNAcentral.
GGUGGCUCAGUGGUAGAGCGCUUGCUUUGCAUGCAUGAGAUCCUAGGUUCGAUUCCUCAGCACCA